GAGUUUGAUCGUGGCUCAGGAUGAACGCUGGCGGCGUGCCUAAUACAUGCAAGUCGAGCGAACGGACGAGAAGCUUGCUUCUCUGAUGUUAGCGGCGGACGGGUGAGUAACACGUGGAUAACCUACCUAUAAGACUGGGAUAACUUCGGGAAACCGGAGCUAAUACCGGAUGAUAUUUUGAACCGCAUGGUUCAAAAGUGAAAGACGGUUCUUGCUGUCACUUAUAGAUGGAUCCGCGCUGCAUUAGCUAGUUGGUAAGGUAACGGCUUACCAAGGCAACGAUGCAUAGCCGACCUGAGAGGGUGAUCGGCCACACUGGAACUGAGACACGGUCCAGACUCCUACGGGAGGCAGGCAGUAGGGAAUCUUCCGGCAAUGGGCGAAAGCCUGACGGAGCAACGCCGCGUGAGUGAUGAAGGUCUUCGGAUCGUAAAACUCUGUUAUUAGGGAGAACAUAUGUGU
RNAcentral lists this ribosomal RNA (462 nucleotides) under uncultured microorganism. RNAcentral's name for it is "bacterial SSU rRNA". It matches the Rfam family "Bacterial small subunit ribosomal RNA", at positions 9 to 457 of the family's 1533-position model. The record is from RNAcentral.